CAGCAGGCGCGAAACCUCUGCAAUAGGCGAAAGCCUGACAGGGUUACUCUGAGUGAUUUCCGCUAAGGGGAUCUUUUGGCACCUCUAAAAAUGGUGCAGAAUAAGGGGUGGGCAAGUCUGGUGUCAGCCGCCGCGGUAAUACCAGCACCCCGAGUGGUCGGGACGAUUAUUGGGCCUAAAGCAUCCGUAGCCGGUUCUGCAAGUCUUCCGUUAAAUCCAGCCGCUCAACGGAUGGGCCGCGGAGGAUACUACAGGACUAGGAGGCGGGAGAGGCAAGCGGUACUCAGUGGGUAGGGGUAAAAUCCUUUGAUCCAUUGAAGACCACCAGUGGCGAAGGCGGCUUGCCAGAACGCGCUCGACGGUGAGGGAUGAAAGCUGGGGGAGCAAACCGGAUUAGAUACCCGGGUAGUCCCAGCUGUAAACGAUGCAGACUCGGUGAUGGGCUAGCCUUGUGCCAGCCCAGUGCCGCAGGGAAGCCGUUAAGUCUGC
Molecule: ribosomal RNA, 489 nt
Filed under: uncultured crenarchaeote
Lineage: Archaea; Thermoproteati; Thermoproteota
Description: bacterial SSU rRNA
Rfam family: Archaeal small subunit ribosomal RNA
Source: RNAcentral